Long non-coding RNA from Drosophila obscura, 1221 nucleotides. RefSeq lists it as uncharacterized. The record is from RefSeq and is a predicted model, not a curated record. The transcript has 4 exons. Lineage: Eukaryota; Metazoa; Arthropoda; Insecta; Diptera; Drosophilidae.
UUUAACGGGGACUAGUAUUUUCAGGCACAUGUGUACAAAGAAGAAGAAGAUGCUAACAUAAAGCUACAAAUUGUUGUUUACAUUUUAAAACGGCUGUACAAAUUGUGAUUGGGGCGUGUUUUCCGGUGUGCUGCCCUCCACCACAGAUGCCCAGCUCUGCGCCCUUGGAUCCCAAGCUCGUAUGGAGGUGUCCGUGGCAGCUGCCUCGUGCUAUCGCCUGGCUGCUGCAGCCGUCCUGGAAUCAACAAAAGGCCAGUGACCAGCAGGCCCACAGCCGGCCACUGUAAGCGUUGUAGUGGCCCUCUCGUGCCAUUGGACAAUGGCUCUGGUCCAGUCCGUGUAGAGGCGGCUGUAUGUGGCCGCUCCAUGCCCCAAGCCAGAUGAUUUGCCUGAAUUUGGCCAGCUGCCGAGUGAACUUGAGUGGGUCGACCUCGUUCUGUACGCUCCAGGAUGGCACCAGAAGCUGUGGAAUAAAGGAAAACAGAGUUUUUGCCACCCUGAUCAGCAUUAUUAAUUUUUCUCCGUCUCUUUUUAGAAACUCUGCAGAUCCUGGCCUCCGACUGCACGAUCGCCAAACUUCCAGCUGGAGCCUCUUCUUGUUGAUCAGUGCGGGCUCGGUUCUCUUCAGCAGUAAAUGCGGCGUCCAUCGCGUCAUCCAAUUCCCUUUCCAGUCGCUGUUGCAGAGUGUUCAUUCCCUCCUCUAGCAGCUGCUCAGGAGUAGGCGGAGGGAGCUCAUGUGGCUCGAGCGGAGUCAUUAUGAGCCUCUUUCUCAGCAUCCGAGCAACGUGAUUCACCCAGCAUAUGGAAGGUCUCUCCUGUGGGAUUCCGAGAGCUAUGCGACGCUCUUGUUCAAGGCGUUUUCGCUGGAUAACUGCCUCCUUGGCUCGGGCUUCAUUUAGUAGACGCUGCUGCUCAAAUGCAAUCUGCUCGCAGUGAAUUAAAGUUGGCAGCGGUUGCUGCUGUUGGGCUGCUGCUAUCUGCAAGAGCUGCUGUUGGAGCGGACGAACAUUUGGAUGAGUAAAAAGUGAUGUUGCCAUCCUGCUGCUAGACGUGUUAAAGAUGUCCUCCGCUGAGUCGAUGUUGUGUGCCUCUCGGAUGUCCUGGCUUCUGAUGUAUCUGCUGGCCAUUGCAAUCUUUCUCACGAGUCGGUUUUGCGUGCCUUCUAUCCUGCGGAAUUGAGAGUCACAUACCAAAGCUCCCCAAACAGGUAAGGCAUAUUGC